GCAGUGGUGGUAUAGUGGUAGAAUUCUCACCCUUGAUGUGGAAGACCUAGGUUCAAUUCCUGGCCAAUGCC
RNAcentral lists this transfer RNA (71 nucleotides) under Loxodonta africana (African savanna elephant). It matches the Rfam family "tRNA". From Rfam's summary of the family: Transfer RNA (tRNA) molecules are approximately 80 nucleotides in length. Their secondary structure includes four short double-helical elements and three loops (D, anti-codon, and T loops). The record is from Rfam by way of RNAcentral. Lineage: Eukaryota; Metazoa; Chordata; Mammalia; Proboscidea; Elephantidae.